This 250-nucleotide ribosomal RNA is filed under the name uncultured prokaryote. RNAcentral describes it as "partial 16S rRNA". It matches the Rfam family "Bacterial small subunit ribosomal RNA", at positions 525 to 775 of the family's 1533-position model. The record is from RNAcentral.
ACGUAGGUGGCAAGCGUUGUCCGGAAUUAUUGGGCGUAAAGGGCGCGCAGGCGGGCGUGUAAGUCUGUCUUAAAAGCUCGGGGCUCAACCCCGAGAUGGGAAAUAAACUAGAUGCCUUGAGUGCAGGAGAGGAAAGCGGAAUUCCUAGUGUAGCGGUGAAAUGCGUAGAUAUUAGGAGGAACACCAGUGGCGAAGGCGGCUUUCUGGACUGUAACUGACACUGAGGCGCGAAAGCGAGGGGAGCGAACGG